CGAAGGGUGCGAGCGUUGUUCGGAAUUAUUGGGCGUAAAGCGCACGUAGGCGGUUGGGUAAGUCUGUCUGUGAAAGCCCGGGGCUCAACCCCGCGGACUGCAGGGGAUACUGCCUGACUGGAGACAAGCAGAGGUUGGUAGAAUUCCGGGUGUAGCGGUGGAAUGCGUAGAGAUCCGGAGGAAUACCAGAGGCGAAGGCGGCCAACUGGGCUUGUUCUGACGCUGAGGUGCGAAAGCGUGGGGAGCGAACAGGAUUAGAUACCCUGGUAGUCCACGCCGUAAACGAUGGGCACUAGAUGCCGGUGGGAACGACCCCUUCGGUGUCGCAGCUAACGCACUAAGUGCCCCGCCUGGGGAGUACGGCCGCAAGGCUG
This 374-nucleotide ribosomal RNA is filed under the name uncultured organism. Its description in RNAcentral is "bacterial SSU rRNA". It matches the Rfam family "Bacterial small subunit ribosomal RNA", at positions 526 to 896 of the family's 1533-position model. The record is from RNAcentral.